This 752-nucleotide ribosomal RNA is filed under the name uncultured bacterium. RNAcentral's name for it is "partial 16S ribosomal RNA". The record is from RNAcentral.
GACCAGAGAGCCGCUUUCGCCACCGGUGUUCCUCCAUAUAUCUACGCAUUUCACCGCUACACAUGGAAUUCCACUCUCCCCUUCUGCACUCAAGUUAAACAGUUUCCAAAGCCUACAAUGGUUGAGCCACUGCCUUUAACUUCAGACUUAUCUAACCGCCUGCGCUCGCUUUACGCCCAAUAAAUCCGGACAACGCUCGGGACCUACGUAUUACCGCGGCUGCUGGCACGUAGUUAGCCGUCCCUUUCUGGUUAAGUACCGUCACAGUAUGAACUUUCCAUUCUCACACUCGUUCUUCCUUAACAACAGAGCUUUACGAUCCGAAAACCUUCUUCACUCACGCGGCGUUGCUCGGUCAGGGUUCCCCCCAUUGCCGAAGAUUCCCUACUGCUGCCUCCCGUAGGAGUCUGGGCCGUGUCUCAGUCCCAGUGUGGCCGAUCACCCUCUCAGGUCGGCUAUGUAUCGUCGCCUAGGUGAGCCGUUACCUCACCUACUAGCUAAUACAACGCAGGUCCAUCUGGUAGUGAUGCAUUUGCACCUUUUAAACAUCUACCAUGCAGUAAAUGUUCUUAUGCGGUAUUAGCUAUCGUUUCCAAUAGUUAUCCCCCGCUACCAGGCAGGUUACCUACGCGUUACUCACCCGUUCGCAACUCACAGAAUACGGUGUAGUAAACUACGGUGCAUCCUGUGCGUUCUACUUGCAUGUAUUAGGCACGCCGCCAGCGUUCGUCCUGAGCCAGGAUCAAACCCUA